UACAGAGGUCUCAAGCGUUGUUCGGAUUCAUUGGGCGUAAAGGGUGCGUAGGUGGCGCUGUAAGUCGGGUGUGAAAUUUCGGAGCUUAACUCCGAAACUGCAUUCGAUACUGCGGUGCUUGAGGACUGGAGAGGAGACUGGAAUUCAUGGUGUAGCGGUGAAAUGCGCAGAUAUCAGGAGGAACACCGGUGGCGAAGGCGGGUCUCUGGGCCGAUACUGACGCUGAGGAGCGAAAGCGUGGGGAGCGAACAGG
RNAcentral lists this ribosomal RNA (253 nucleotides) under uncultured bacterium. RNAcentral's name for it is "partial 16S ribosomal RNA". It matches the Rfam family "Bacterial small subunit ribosomal RNA", at positions 524 to 776 of the family's 1533-position model. The record is from RNAcentral.